Fukomys damarensis (Damara mole-rat) is the source of this 2043-nucleotide long non-coding RNA. The record is from Ensembl. Lineage: Eukaryota; Metazoa; Chordata; Mammalia; Rodentia; Bathyergidae.
UAGAUGAUUAGUCCAUGAGAGGAUAUUAAAUUUACAAUGUUCUAGGGCAAUCAGGUGUAUUCUAUACAACUGCACCACUAUACAAAUGGUGGUGGUUUGGAAGCUCAGAGAAGAAAAUUAUGUUCAAAUUAGCAGUUGCUUCCUUUGUCAAUCAACAUAGCAGCCCAGGUCAGGGAAAUGGCUGAUUACUAAACAAAACAACUGCUAACAAUUUAAAUUGAGACAGUAUUGUGAUGUAUCCUCGUUGCUUAUAGAACAGAGUCACCUAGAAAGGGCACAGCUAACUCUGGCUAAAAAUAGUUCAACUAAAGUUACAACUUUGGCAGGAAAGUAUUCACCAAAUAAGUGGCUUUCUUUUUCUAUAGACAUCAGUGACUUCCCGAAUGCCUGUGUCAGCUUGUUGGUGACAAGAGAUGCUGAAUGAGACACUAUUAUGGCUUAAAGUAUUACAGGAGACAAAAUUAGUUCACAAAGAUUGAACGGAAAAGCAGAAAGAGAAGACCACAAGUGAGAAGGAAGCUGUCACCAGUUUUGAUGCUGUCUUUGUAGACAACUCCCCACUGAGUGACAGAACUGAUGAGCUCCGCACUCCCUAGGAAGAACCCAAGUGUUCCAGGCAAUGAAAAAUCAAAGCAACUGAAGAGCUGCAAAUGCUCUCCAGCCAUCAGCCUGCAGCACAGUUGUGAGGUGCAGAUUAUUAUGCAAGCUGGAUGAGAAGGGAAAGGAGAGACUGAAAGCAAGGUACUGGGAGUAGAAGAUGCUCACCUGUUGGGACAGAACCGUUGAUCACAUGCUUAGUGUCCAUGGCCACCUUCCACCCUGGUAUCGGGAUCCGACACUGUGACUGGUCCUAGGCAGCAAGCACACCAUGACUGGCUGACUGAUCCUGAACAUGUUUUCUCCUUUGUAAAACACUAUUGUCUGGCCUCUUUUAACGCUAAUGGAGAUGAGGGCACCCAGCAAGUAUCAGGGCGAAGCUGGCUGGUGAGCGGAGAAGUUUUCUUUUCAGAGAGGAGAAACAGAAGUCUUUCACUGUUUCUUUAUUGAAGCUGUGAUUCUGGGAUCUCCAGGACCCAUCUUGUAAUAACAAGGUGACAGCAAGGAGGAUGAAAGAAAACCUUACUAAAGACAAAGCAGUUAAAAGACAAAAGAGUAGAUGUCCCUGAGGACAUCAGUUAAGAAUAUCAGUCUACACUAUUGUUGAUAGAUGGUGAGAAAAACCCAAUAUUGGUCUCAGACACUAUCAAACAAUUUUCUCUUUCUUCCAGCCCAAAGUGUCCCUGACUGAUUAGGCUAAAGUACUGAGAAAUAUAACUUCUUGUUCCAUUUCCAAGAAGCACAGCCUGGCUGAUUCCUUUUACAAAGUUGGAUUCACAGUGCUUACAGUAAAGGGGCCCAGAAGAACCUCUUUCACUCAGUAGGAGGCUAAGGUGAGAAGGCCUUGACUACCUAGGUUUUCUUUCAGGAAGUACCACUCAUGUGUUUCUAUCUAUAAUGCAGGCUCCUUUUGCGGCUUUUAGGAAGUGCCACAUGGAGUCUAGCCAAGUUCCAGUGACCAAGGCCCACUUGAGAUAAUGACUCAUCACAUUUCUGGAAAUCACAGCCUGCCACCCAAAACCAGACAGCUUGUCCAUUGCUCUGUUGGGUCAGUGUGAAUGCAGCAUUCUUAACUGUCUGUUCAGAGUCCUGGAGGUGACUACAAGAGCUAAAGUCCACCAGCUGGAACCUGUGUGACCUCAGGCACCCGGGAAGUUUGGGCUCACCUUCUAAGAGAUGAGUCCUCUAUCAUUUCAGGUAUAAGCUGCUAUAUGUGAGCUCUACUGUGUAUAGCUAUUAGUGCAAAAUCCGUUUCUACCAAGUUUCCAGGUAUCUAAAGGUAUGAAUCACACACAAAUUGCACAGUCUCAUGAAAUCCCAUUUCUAAUCCCAUGUUUUGCAUAGCACACUGCCAAUUUUUGCUGCUCAAACAUCAGAGACUUUUUUUUCCUGGACCAAGGAUUAGCUAGGAGAGUGUACCCUGAUAAGGGAGGAUGAGUAAGUCCC